GACGAACGCUGGCGGCGUGCUUAACACAUGCAAGUCGAACGGAAAGGCCCUGCUUUUGUGGGGUGCUCGAGUGGCGAACGGGUGAGUAACACGUGAGUAACCUGCCCUUGACUUUGGGAUAACUUCAGGAAACUGGGGCUAAUACCGGAUAGGAGCUCCUGCUGCAUGGUGGGGGUUGGAAAGUUUCGGCGGUUGGGGAUGGACUCGCGGCUUAUCAGCUUGUUGGUGGGGUAGUGGCUUACCAAGGCUUUGACGGGUAGCCGGCCUGAGAGGGUGACCGGCCACAAUGGGACUGAGGUACGGCCCAGACUCCUACGGGAGGCAACAGGGGGGAAUAUUGCACAAUGGGCGGAAGCCUGAUGCAGCAACGCCGCGUGCGGGAAGACGGCCUUCGGGUUGUAAACCGCUUUCGCCUGUGACGAAGCGUGAGUGACGGUAAUUGGUAAAAAAGCCACGGCUAACUACGUG
This 468-nucleotide ribosomal RNA is filed under the name uncultured bacterium. RNAcentral describes it as "partial 16S ribosomal RNA". It matches the Rfam family "Bacterial small subunit ribosomal RNA", at positions 28 to 507 of the family's 1533-position model. The record is from RNAcentral.